CCUACGGGUGGCAGCAGUAGGGAAUCUUCCACAAUGGGCGAAAGCCUGAUGGAGCAACGCCGCGUGGGUGAAGAAGGUCUUCGGAUCGUAAAACCCUGUUGUUAGAGAAGAAAGUGCGUGAGAGUAACUGUUCACGUUUCGACGGUAUCUAACCAGAACGCCACGGCUAACUACGUGCCGGCAGCCGCGGUACUACGUAGGUGGCAAGCGUUAUCCGGAUUUAUUGGGCGUAAAGGGCAUGCAGGCGGCCUUGUAAGUCUGAGGUGAAAGCCUUCGGCUUAACCGGGGUAGUGCAUUGGAAACUGGGAGACUUGAGUGCAGAAGAGGUGAGCGGAAGUCCAUGUGUAGCGGUGAAAUGCGUAGAUAUAAGGAAGAACACCAGUGGCGAAAGCGGAUGUCUGGUCGGUAACUGACGCUGAGGUUCGAAAGCGUGGGUAGCAAACAGGAUUAGAUACCCGAGUAGUC
RNAcentral lists this ribosomal RNA (465 nucleotides) under uncultured bacterium. RNAcentral describes it as "partial 16S ribosomal RNA". It matches the Rfam family "Bacterial small subunit ribosomal RNA", at positions 338 to 795 of the family's 1533-position model. The record is from RNAcentral.